Non-coding RNA from Anas platyrhynchos (mallard), 3960 nucleotides. The record is from RefSeq and is a predicted model, not a curated record. NCBI's taxonomy places the organism in Eukaryota, Metazoa, Chordata, Aves, Anseriformes, Anatidae.
UUCCUGUGCAGUGUUUAACAAUGACUACAAGAGAAGAGUGAAUGUACCAGAGGAUGACUCAGCCACGCUCCUGCCCUUAAAGCAGACAUGGAGAGGCAGGAGGAAGGAAAUUAAGCACGAGUGUGAACAUGAGAUUUGUUAAAGAGGGAUGUCGAGUGAAAUAUGGUCAGUGCACGGCCUUGAGCUUUCACCCAGGCGCCAUGCAGAUGGGAAUGCUAAAGAUAACCAGGAGCUGUAAAUAAUGAGUGAAGGGGCCCCUCUCAUGGGCAAAAGAGACAAGGUUUCCUCCAAGGAAACAAAGGAAUGUGAGGGAGGCUAUGGACAGCCCUAGUUAUGCCAGGGGACAGCUAAAGGGCUGCUGCAGCCUGGUCUUAGCAGUUUCUAGAGACAGGCUGUGUUCACAGACUGAUGUAAUAACAAAAUUGAAGGCAGUGACAGAGGAAAGCAAUGCGGGGUUCUUCGCCAGCCCUUGCUGAUGGCCUUUAACCAAGCCGUGUGAUAUCCGCAGGCACCGCUCUGCUCAGAGGUACCCUGCGUACAGGUGAAAUUACCCAGCAAUUACCAGGCUGCUGGGGUUUGUAAAAUCAAGCUUCAGUAACGGUGUGCUACUUCACUGGGAGUUAUAAUAAAGAGCUGCUGUUGACCCUCAGGCUCAACAUAAUAAAUCCCAGCACAAACCAGGACGUGGCGACUCCAGAUUUCAAUUUUGUGCAAAGAGCCCCUGGGGAGGCAGAAGGGAGCUAGGUGUGCGGGCACGCCUGCCUGAGGUGCUCUCCCCGGGAGCUCCUCAGGAGUACCUGCAGGUGAGCAGCAACCUCGCUGGGAGAGCUCUAAUUUCUCCAGGGCUUUUCCCAUCCUCCUAGCACAGAUGCUUUCUCUUCCUGUAAGCCAAUGCCUCCUCCAUGGGCACCUCAUUUUGUUCCUCUGGAGGUGUGCAAAGCCUCAUGCCUGCUUUCUCCUCAGCUACAAGUGCAAAGAGAAACGUCAGGGGAUAAGAAAACUUGCAGUAUCAUCCUGCUUCUCUGCCAUUACGUGGCAGAACAAACAAGAAUUAAUAGCCUUCCCUGGGAUUACAAGGCUGAGCUCCAAAACUGAAAAGGAACAAAAGCAGGAUCCAAACAAACAAUGUAAAGGCUUCAGAAAACAAAGGGCAAAUGCACCUACUGGGAUAAGAGCGUCCAAGUUAUCUUCCAUUGAAUAUUUAUAGAGGACCCAGUCUCUACAAACGUUUCUCCAUUUUGAAGACUUGUAACAACUCGCUUUAAUGCCACUAUUAAUGGGACCAAUUAAUGGCUUCUGGACUUGUACCUGCUUACAACAAAGGUCAGAGCAAGCGGGAAUAGCACGCUGAGCACUCCCAGCCUUUGGUACUGAGAUGUGAUAACAUUUGAACACAUCUCUGAGCGACGUGCUGGCUGCCCAAGGAAAGCAACAACAGUUUUCCCACACAAAUUGGCCUCCAGUCCGACUGCUCAGCAAAAGGCUACAGCUGGAAAUGGAAACUGGGACUCCUAAAAGUCUCUGCUUUGGUACCACAAACUACCACAAAACCAAAAUAAGAGGCUUAGUUCCGGAACUCCAUUUUUCUUAUCAGUUUCCAGCCAUGCUCCAGCUGGAACACUACGAGAUGUAACCUCUUGGGCUGCUACGAGAAGCAUGUGUGAGCACAGACUCUCCCUCCCAGCUCCAAUAAGAGACCCUUUAAUUGCCAUGCAUGCAGGUGGUGGUGUUUUCUGUACUCUCUUCUCCCUCAGACCCUGUUUCAGCCAUCCCCUGUUGUCUAUUUCAGCUAGGAGAUUCUCCCAAGUACCACCAAAAUGGAAUGCAAUGGACGAAAGAAAGCCAAUGAAUCUCUCACUGCCAACGGCAGGACUGUGAAAAUCCACCUACACUCCCCAAGAAACAUGCCAGCGAAUCACACCGUCCUCCCAGCACUACCCUGAAAGCAGUUGGGGCACUGAUAAAGGUGUUGCUGUAGCAACACGGAGCUUUCUCCGACACAGCUACACGAGUACGUCCUCGGUAUCCAGGGGGUGAUUUUCAAUUUAUGCCGAGCUCCACGCCGCUGAGGCUACACCUGACUUUGUAGAAUAUCUGAAUAAUUCAGGUUGCAAGUAGCCUCUGGAGGUCAUCUGCUCCGAGCUCUAGUUCAAAGCAGGGCCAGCUUUGAAGCUACAGCACGCUGGAGAGAGCUUUGUCUCCGGCUACGAUUUUAUAAAGCAGCCUAGACGUGACUUUGUGAGCUGCGGCUAUCACAGCAGAGAGCAGCGUGAGACAGCUUUAACCUGACAACACCUCUGCAGAACUGGUAGGGCAGGAGGAGAGCAGAAGUUUGCACUGAAGUCGUCUCCCCUGGUGGCAGCAGCAUGGCAGCGCUCGGCAACCCUUUGUGUGACAAACCUCUUGCUGGCAACUGGGUCAGGACAUCGCUUUUCUGGCUGGAAAACUGGUCCUGCAGAAGUCAAGGGUGUUCCUCCUACGCGCUGCGAGGAGGAGGACUUCAGUCCUUGGUUUGGGGCUAGAGCAAACGCGCACAGUGGGCAGCUGCAGACAUGAGGAGUUAAUCCCUCUAAUAGCCUUUGUGCAUCUAACCACGGCGAUCAAGUGGUAUUGAGCAUAAUUAAUAUACCCACAGGGUGUGUGUUAGAUUAACAGGAUUACCUGCUGGCGGUAAUGUCACCCUGCUUUCAUUCAGUGCGUCUCUCAAGAAGGGAAGGUACUUUCUAAAAGUGGGUAAAUAUUUGCUAAUGCCAGAGAGGAAAAUGAAAGUGCAGAGGUUUGGUCACAACGCCGGUCCCGGGGUGAAGGUGGAGCAACAUCCCUGUCGCACGCCCGAGCAUUUGUAAGCCGUCAGAUGUCACGGCCUGCUCACGAAGUCCUUGCAGUCACAGCACAUUCUGGUUUCUUAUGCUAACUGCGUGCUUAUAAAGCAACAUUUCCAUUGCUAGUUAAGCUUCCAUUUUCCCUACACACUUUUUGUUAACUUUGAAAGUCCACAGAAGAUAAAUCUGGGGAGCAAACAUUCGGAUUCAGAUGGUCACCCUAAAAAAGGUUCCUUCCUUCACACUGCAGCAUGGCUAACAAAUGCUGUGCUAGGGAAUGUAAGUGCUCAGAGUUCUUACACAGGAUUAAAUUAUUUGGUAUCUGUUAUAGCCUGUGAGCAUAAAUUACUAUUUUGCACUCCGUGUACAAACAAUAGAUGUGGUUUGAAAUAUUCUGAUGAAAGAAUGAGCUUUAAUUCUUUCUCUUUUUCCCUCUUUAAAAGAUCUUUUAUGGCCACAACCAAUUCUUGUGUCUCCUGUCUUUAUUCUUCCAGUAUUCGUAAGGUCAUUUGUCCCACGGGAAACCUGUGAACCCUGAAAAUAAACUGUACUGCUCAUCAGCUCGUCAGCAUCUCCCACUGACAUUCAUUCACAGAAGCUUUCCGUGACAAUGAAAAUGAAUUCAGUGCCUACCUAGCUCAGGUAACAAUGUCUGAACCUAAGAACAGCACCGACUCCAUCCCACCUUAGGUUAGUGUCUAGCUCAGCAUUUACCCUAAACGAAAGGGUGGAGGGUGAGUCAGUAAUCAGAGAGCUCUGCAGAAGCUGGGGAAGAUAAAACACCUCUAGGGGGUGAUUUGUCCCACUUAUUCCAGACACCUAUUUCAGUAUGAAUCUCCUGCUGGAGACGCUUCCCUUCUCUCCCUACGGAGUGUGCCCAGACAACUAGAUGCCUGCUGGCAGGUGAAGUUGGUUCAAUGUGCAGUGUUUUGUAUUGGCAGCUUGUGCCCUACAUGUGGCACGCAGUGAGACAUCCGAUGGCUGCUACAACCAGGGGCACAACGCUCAUCAGCUCCGUGGUGGGAGGCAGGGAAACCAGCACCUCCAAAAUUCAAAGUCAUCAGCGAUCUGCUGAGUUGUGUUUUUCCAACAUUGCUUUUAUAAAAUCCCCUUCAGCUUUAUCUUCAGUCACCUAAAA